AUGCACUUCGGCAGUUUCCCUAAGACGCCGCAGGGGGUGGCAAGAUGCGACAUCUGAGUUUAUUUUUAUGAAUGCCAAUGCUUGGGACCCACGACACGGCCAAACAAUGAGCUCACCGGCGUAUCGGCAUCGUGGGAGAGGAGCCCAGUUCGAACGUGCAGUAAUACCCCAGGUACAUUCAUAUAACCCAUUUACCAGGAAAACACGCAAACGAUCAGCAAGCGUUACACUGCAACAGUGGCAAGGAACGAGGUGGUAGUGAGCGCCACAAAGUCAUGCCAGCAAU
This is a long non-coding RNA of Rhipicephalus microplus (southern cattle tick), 286 nucleotides long. NCBI's taxonomy places the organism in Eukaryota, Metazoa, Arthropoda, Arachnida, Ixodida, Ixodidae. The record is from RefSeq and is a predicted model, not a curated record.